GUAAAGCGACUAGAUUGACAGUCGAGCGAUGAUUAAAGAUAGCUUGCUAUUUUUAUGAAGAGCGGCGAACGGGUGAGUAACGCGUGGGAAAUCUGCCGAGUAGCGGGGGACAACGUUUGGAAACGAACGCUAAUACCGCAUAACAAUGAGAAUCGCAUGAUUCUUAUUUGAAAGAAGCAAUUGCUUCACUACUUGAUGAUCCCGCGUUGUAUUAGCUAGUUGGUAGUGUAAAGGACUACCAAGGCGAUGAUACAUAGCCGACCUGAGAGGGUGAUCGGCCACACUGGGACUGAGACACGGCCCAGACUCCUACGGGAGGCAGCAGUAGGGAAUCUUCGGCAAUGGGGGCAACCCUGACCGAGCAACGCCGCGUGAGUGAAGAAGGUUUUCGGAUCGUAAAACUCUGUUGUUAGAGAAGAACGUUAAGUAGAGUGGAAAAUUACUUAAGUGACGGUAUCUAACCAGAAAGGGACGGCUAACUACGUGCCAGCAGCCGCGGUAAUACGUAGGUCCCAAGCGUUGUCCGGAUUUAUUGGGCGUAAAGCGAGCGCAGGUGGUUUCUUAAGUCUGAUGUAAAAGGCAGUGGCUCAACCAUUGUGUGCAUUGGAAACUGGGAGACUUGAGUGCAGGAGAGGAGAGUGGAAUUCCAUGUGUAGCGGUGAAAUGCGUAGAUAUAUGGAGGAACACCGGAGGCGAAAGCGGCUCUCUGGCCUGUAACUGACACUGAGGCUCGAAAGCGUGAGGAGCACACAAGAUUACAUACCCUGGAAGUCCACGCCGGAAACGAGGAGUGCUAGCUGUAGGGAGCUUAAGUGCUCA
This 819-nucleotide ribosomal RNA is filed under the name Lactococcus sp. RNAcentral's name for it is "bacterial SSU rRNA". It matches the Rfam family "Bacterial small subunit ribosomal RNA", at positions 48 to 840 of the family's 1533-position model. The record is from RNAcentral. Lineage: Bacteria; Bacillati; Bacillota; Bacilli; Lactobacillales; Streptococcaceae.